AUUGAACGCUGGCGGCAGGCCUAACACAUGCAAGUCGAACGGUAACAGGAAGCAGCUUGCUGCUUUGCUGACGCGUGGCGGACGGGUGUGUAAUGUACGGGAAACUGUACGAUUGAGGGGGAUAACUACUGGAAACGGUAGCUCAUACCGCAUAUCGUCGCAAGACCAAAGAGGGGGACCUUAUGGCCUCUUGCCAUCGGAUGUGCCCAGAUGGGAUUAGCUAGUAGGUGGGGUAACGGCUCACCUAGGCGACGAUCCCUAGCUGGUCUGAGAGGAUGACCAGCCACACUGGAACUGAGACACGGUCCAGACUCCUACGGGAGGCAGCAGUGGGGAAUAUUGCACAAUGGGCGCAAGCCUGAUGCAGCCAUGCCGCGUGUAUGAAGAAGGCCUUCGGGUUGUAAAGUACUUUCAGCGGGGAGGAAGGGAGUAAAGUUAAUACCUUUGCUCAUUGACGUUACCCGCAGAAGAAGCACCGGCUAACUCCGUG
RNAcentral lists this ribosomal RNA (490 nucleotides) under uncultured bacterium. RNAcentral's name for it is "partial 16S ribosomal RNA". It matches the Rfam family "Bacterial small subunit ribosomal RNA", at positions 30 to 507 of the family's 1533-position model. The record is from RNAcentral.